RNAcentral lists this ribosomal RNA (406 nucleotides) under uncultured bacterium. Its description in RNAcentral is "bacterial SSU rRNA". It matches the Rfam family "Bacterial small subunit ribosomal RNA", at positions 917 to 1322 of the family's 1533-position model. The record is from RNAcentral.
GGACCCGCACAAGUAGUGGAGCAUGUGGUUUAAUUCGAUGCAACGCGAAGAACCUUACCAGGCCUUGACAUCCUCGGAACUUUCUAGAGAUAGAUUGGUGCCUUCGGGAACCGAGUGACAGGUGCUGCAUGGCUGUCGUCAGCUCGUGUCGUGAGAUGUUGGGUUAAGUCCGAUAACGAGCGCAACCCCUAUUCUUAGUUGCCAGCACGUAAUGGUGGGGACUCUAAGAAAACUGCCCGGGAUAACCGGAAGGAAGGUGGGGUCGACGUCAAGUCAGUAUGUCCCUUACGUCUAGGGCUACACACGUGAUACAAUGGAGGGUACAAAGGGUUGCGAUACCGCAAGGUGGAGCCAAUCCCAAAAAACCUUCCCAAGUUCAGAUUGCAGUCUGCAACUCGACUGCAUG